Molecule: long non-coding RNA, 524 nt
Filed under: Salvia miltiorrhiza (redroot sage)
Lineage: Eukaryota; Viridiplantae; Streptophyta; Magnoliopsida; Lamiales; Lamiaceae
Description: long non-coding RNA (SMIL_LNC009378)
Source: RNAcentral
CACUUAGUCUAGUUAUGUUUUGAUUUGUUAAGCUCACUUGGAUUAUGUUGUAGUUAUGUGAGGGAUUGACGACUCUUGGUUGAUGCAUUGUUAUUUUCAUUUGAGCUUAUUAUAUUUUGUUAAGCUUAUUGGUUUAAUGCUGUAUAUUGAUUGUAUUUUUAGUUUGGCAUAUGUUGAAUUGUUGAUUUAUUGGAUAUGUUGAUUGUUGAGCAUAUAUGAUGAAUUUUGUAUUUUUUUUAAUAUUAUUAUUCAUGUGAAUGAAUCAAAUCAAAUUUGUGUUGUUAUCAGGUCGUAAUCAGAUCGUGUCGCUAUCGUGUUGUGUCAACCCGAUUCAAAUCGGGUUGUUAUCAGGUAGUAAUCAGAUCGUGUCGCUAUCGGGUCGUGUCAACCCGAUUCAAAUCGGGUUGUUAUCGGGUUCGUGUCGGGUUCUGGUUGGGUUCGGGUUCGGGUUUAGGUGUAUCAGGUUGGGUUCGGGUUGGGUUCUAGCAUUCCCUUAUCAGGUCGGGUUCGGGUUUGGCCUUAUC